CGGGUGCGUAACGCGUAUAGAACCUACCUUUUACAGAGGAAUAGCCUUUAGAAAUGAAGAUUAAUGCCUCAUAGUAUUGUAGACUGGCAUCAGUUUAUAAUUAAAGAUUUAUCGGUAAAAGAUGGCUAUGCGUCCUAUUAGUUAGUUGGUAAGGUAACGGCUUACCAAGACAGCGAUAGGUAGGGGUCCUGAGAGGGAGAUCCCCCACACUGGUACUGAGACACGGACCAGACUCCUACGGGAGGCAGCAGUGAGGAAUAUUGGACAAUGGAGGAGACUCUGAUCCAGCCAUGCCGCGUGUAGGAAGAAUGCCCUAUGGGUUGUAAACUACUUUUAUACAGGAAGAAACACUGGUAUGUAUACCAGCUUGACGGUACUGUAAGAAUAAGGACCG
This 394-nucleotide ribosomal RNA is filed under the name uncultured Polaribacter sp. RNAcentral describes it as "bacterial SSU rRNA". It matches the Rfam family "Bacterial small subunit ribosomal RNA", at positions 103 to 495 of the family's 1533-position model. The record is from RNAcentral. Lineage: Bacteria; Pseudomonadati; Bacteroidota; Flavobacteriia; Flavobacteriales; Flavobacteriaceae.